This 514-nucleotide ribosomal RNA is filed under the name uncultured bacterium. RNAcentral describes it as "partial 16S ribosomal RNA". It matches the Rfam family "Bacterial small subunit ribosomal RNA", at positions 28 to 523 of the family's 1533-position model. The record is from RNAcentral.
GAUGAACGCUGGCGGCGUGCCUAAUACAUGCAUGUCGAGCGAACAGAUGAGAAGCCUGCUUCUCUGAUGUUAGCGGCGGACGGGUGAGUAACACGUGGGUAACCUACCUAUAAGACUGGGAUAACUCCGGGAAACCGGGGCUAAUACCGGAUAAUAUUUUGAACCGCAUGGUUCAAUAGUGAAAGACGGUUUCGGCUGUCACUUCUAGAUGGACCCGAGCCGUAUUAGCUAGUUGGUAAGGUAACGGCUUACCAAGGCGACGAUCCGUAGCCGAUCUGGGGGGGUGAGCGUCCACACGGGAACUGAGACACGGUCCAGACUCCUACGGGAGGCAGCAGUGGGGAAUCUUCCGCAGUGGGCGAAAGCCUGACGGAGCAACGCCGCGUGAGUGAUGAAGGUCUUCGGAUCGUAAAACUCUGUUGUUAGGGAAGAACAAAUUUGUUAGUAACUGAACAAGUCUUGACGGUACCUAACCAGAAAGCCACGGCUAACUACGUGCCAGCCGCCGCGGUAA